Molecule: long non-coding RNA, 594 nt
Organism: Aphis gossypii (cotton aphid)
Lineage: Eukaryota; Metazoa; Arthropoda; Insecta; Hemiptera; Aphididae
Exons: 6
Source: RefSeq, a predicted model, not a curated record
UUUUUGUUUCAAUUAAUUAUACAUACUUACUCUUUAAGUACUAAAAUAUAUUUAAUUUGUCUUGAUAGGUGUAUUAAAGGCUGACGGAUUCAUUCAAAAAAAUGCCGAAGAAAGUUAUGCUUUUAUCGAAAUUGAAACACAUUUUUUAACACCAUAUAAUGAAUAUCUUGAAACAGAAGCUAGAAAAUUGACCGAUCAUUUUAAAGGAUCAAAAAAUUGGUGCAAAAAUGAAAAAAAAUUUUCAGAACUUGAGGAUUUAGUUGUGGAAUACUUUGCAAAAUAUUAUAAAAAAAAUAAUAAUAGUACAGGAUGAACUUUAAAACAAUAAAGAUUAUUUAUAAAUCAAUUAAAUUAAAGUAACUAUACCAUCUUAAAAUCCUUUAGAAAUAAAAUAUUUUUUUUAAAACAUAUGUUAUUAUAAUUGUCAAUGAAUUUAUUAUUAAUACUUUUCACGGAAAACGCUGAAUAAUUUUUCUUUCGUAGUCAAUCUUAAUACAUAAUUAUUAUGUAAUUAUAAAUAAUUAAAAUAAAUAUUCUAUAUAUUACUAAUAUACUCAUUACUCGUAUAAUUAUUAAUCUAAUAAUAGUUAUAAU